RNAcentral lists this ribosomal RNA (253 nucleotides) under uncultured bacterium. RNAcentral describes it as "partial 16S ribosomal RNA". It matches the Rfam family "Bacterial small subunit ribosomal RNA", at positions 524 to 776 of the family's 1533-position model. The record is from RNAcentral.
UACGUAGGGUGCGAGCGUUGUCCGGAAUUACUGGGCGUAAAGGGCUCGUAGGUGGCCAACUAAGUCGGACGUGAAAUCCCUCGGCUUAACCGGGGAACUGCGUCCGAUACUGGUUGGCUUGAGUUUGGGAGAGGGAUGCGGAAUUCCAGGUGUAGCGGUGAAAUGCGUAGAUAUCGCUUGGAACGCCAAUGGUGAAAACAGCUCGCUGGGGGUGUGCUGACGCUGAGACACGAAAGCCAGGGGAGCGAACGGG